GGGCGAAAGCCUGACGGAGCAACGCCGCGUGAGUGAUGAAGGUCUUCGGAUCGUAAAACUCUGUUAUUAGGGAAGAACAAAUGUGUAAGUAACUGUGCACGUCUUGACGGUACCUAAUCAGAAAGCCACGGCUAACUACGUGCCAGCAGCCGCGGUAAUACGUAGGUGGCAAGCGUUAUCCGGAAUUAUUGGGCGUAAAGCGCGCGUAGGCGGUUUCUUAAGUCUGAUGUGAAAGCCCACGGCUCAACCGUGGAGGGUCAUUGGAAACUGGGAAACUUGAGUGCAGAAGAGGAAAGUGGAAUUCCAUGUGUAGCGGUGAAAUGCGCAGAGAUAUGGAGGAACACCAGUGGCGAAGGCGACUUUCUGGUCUGUAACUGACGCUGAUGUGCGAAAGCGUGGGGAUCAAACAGGAUUAGAUACCCCGGGUAGUCCACGCCGUAAACGAUGAGUGCUAAGUGUU
This 460-nucleotide ribosomal RNA is filed under the name Staphylococcus sp. RNAcentral describes it as "bacterial SSU rRNA". It matches the Rfam family "Bacterial small subunit ribosomal RNA", at positions 373 to 824 of the family's 1533-position model. Lineage: Bacteria; Bacillati; Bacillota; Bacilli; Caryophanales; Staphylococcaceae. The record is from RNAcentral.